RNAcentral lists this small RNA (313 nucleotides) under Drosophila mojavensis. RNAcentral's name for it is "GI27071". The record is from RNAcentral. Lineage: Eukaryota; Metazoa; Arthropoda; Insecta; Diptera; Drosophilidae.
GCCAACCACUGCUCCAAUUUGGCUAUUUCACUUUUGACUUUACGUUGAUGUUGAAAAAGGCAAAAAUUUACAAAAUUUUGUACAACAUACAGUUAUUAAAUAUUAUAAAAAUGCAAGUGUAAAUAAUAUAUACACAUACAUGUGCAAAACACCGCAGAGCGAAUAAAAAACCUGCUGUGUCAAGCAGUACGAAAACGACAACAACAAAUACCAGAGCGAAACCGUGUUUUCCCAGCUAACGCACUGCGACAACAUGUUGCACAACAAUGCCAGCUGGCUGCCACCGCCGCAACAACGGCAUCGUCUGCAGCAA